This 372-nucleotide ribosomal RNA is filed under the name uncultured organism. RNAcentral's name for it is "bacterial SSU rRNA". It matches the Rfam family "Bacterial small subunit ribosomal RNA", at positions 526 to 896 of the family's 1533-position model. The record is from RNAcentral.
CGAACCGUCCAAACGUUAUUCGGAAUCACUGGGCUUAAAGGGUACGUAGGCGGCGCUGUCAGUCGGGUGUGAAAUCCCACGGCUCAACCGUGGAAUUGCGCCCGAUACUGCAGCGCUUGAGGGAGACAGAGGUAAGCGGAACUGAUGGUGGAGCGGUGAAAUGCGUUGAUAUCAUCAGGAACACCGGUGGCGAAAGCGGCUUACUGGGUCUCUUCUGACGCUGAGGUACGAAAGCUAGGGUAGCGAAGGGGAUUAGAUACCCCCGUAGUCCUAGCUGUAAACGUUGAGCACUUGAUCGAGGAUCCCCCCAUAGGUUCUCGGUCGUAGCGAAAGUGUUAAGUGCUCCGCCUGGGGAGUAUGGUCGCAAGGCUG